GACGAACGCUGGCGGCGUGCCUAAUACAUGCAAGUCGAGCGAGUCUGCCUUGAAGAUCGGAGUGCUUGCACUCUGUGAAACAAGAUACAGGCUAGCGGCGGACGGGUGAGUAACACGUGGGUAACCUGCCCAAGAGAUCGGGAUAACACCUGGAAACAGAUGCUAAUACCGGAUAACAACAGAUGAUGCCUAUCAACUGUUUAAAAGAUGGUUCUGCUAUCACUCUUGGAUGGACCUGCGGUGCAUUAGCUAGUUGGUAGGGUAACGGCCUACCAAGGCGAUGAUGCAUAGCCGAGGUGAGAGACUGAUCGGCCACCUUGGGACUGAGACACGGCCCAAACUCCUACGGGAGGCAGCAGUAGGGAAUCUUCCACAAUGGACGCAAGUCUGAUGGAGCAACGCCGCGUGAGUGAAGAAGGGUUUCGGCUCGUAAAGCUCUGUUGUUGGUGAAGAAGGACAGGGGUAGUAACUGACCUUUGUUUGACGGUAAUCAAUUAGAAAGUCACGGCUAACUACGUG
RNAcentral lists this ribosomal RNA (519 nucleotides) under uncultured bacterium. Its description in RNAcentral is "partial 16S ribosomal RNA". It matches the Rfam family "Bacterial small subunit ribosomal RNA", at positions 28 to 507 of the family's 1533-position model. The record is from RNAcentral.